Molecule: long non-coding RNA, 256 nt
Filed under: Mytilus galloprovincialis (Mediterranean mussel)
Lineage: Eukaryota; Metazoa; Mollusca; Bivalvia; Mytilida; Mytilidae
Source: RNAcentral
UGUACAAACACGUUUUAAAUAUAUAUUUAUUUUAUUGGUCAAUGAUUGAAUUUAUGCUGGUUCAAAGCUCCAUAGAGCUCUGUGGGGGUAGCACCAUGAUUCCGACGCCCCGUUAGUUCGACACCACAUUGGUCCGAUUACCCAAUAGCUCGACGCCCUAUUAGUCCGACCACACAUUGGAACGACACACGAAUAAACCGACACAUAAUUAAUGAGCAAUAUUUUGUAUAAAAAAUCUUUAUUUUAAGAGGAUUAU